This is a long non-coding RNA of Heterocephalus glaber (naked mole-rat), 1677 nucleotides long. Lineage: Eukaryota; Metazoa; Chordata; Mammalia; Rodentia; Bathyergidae. The record is from Ensembl.
CUCUGUUGCCCACCAAAGGUGCCAUGGAGCUCCCAGCUGUGUGGACGUGACUGCUGUGGGCCCAUCAGAGAGGCCACGCCGCCCUGGCCACGUGCUGGCCCAGCCUCUCAGUGCAGACCUGAAUCUGGGCCACUGAUGGAUUCAAUACCCACAGGAUAUCUGUUCCAGACAAGCUGCCAAAGGACAAACGUUCAAUGUAAGUCACCCAGUUGGGAUUGGAGAGUACUCAGAGACCUGCUCAGAACCAGGGAUUGUCCUUAGGUUGGCGUCCCACUUUCCAAGACCUUGGAGAUUUCUGCUGGAUCCUCUGAUUUCAGCAGAGGGGUAAAAAUGAAAAGAGCAAGGACAAUCACACAUGUACUUUUGGAGUCAGGCCUGGAAGUGGCUUACAUCACUUCUUCUGUCUGCUUUCCAAUUGGCUGGAACUCAGUCACAUGACACUCCUAACUGCAAGGGAAGCUGGGAAAAUGUAGUUUUCUACAUUUAUAUACAGGAGGAAAACAAGGACUUGGGGACUACAGAGCCAGCACUGUCUUUGCCUCAUAUUUUACCAAGUUCCAACCAGCAAAGUUUUUCCAGUUUAUAUUUCUAUAAGAAAGGUAUAAGAAUUCCUAGUUCCCUACACUGUCAGUAAUUAAGAGCAUGACAUUUUUGUGUGUCUAUUGUCCACAGCUUUGCAUAUGACAUUGCUGCUUUUCUACUGAUAGACUCAGAGUACCUCUUUCUGUCUUUGUAGAUGAUCUCUCUGGAAGCUAGGACUGCAGCCCUGAUUACUUUUAGGACAGCUGCCCCAUCACUGUCUCCCAGGCUGGCCUAAGUUUCUGGACCUUUCUCUGUUCUAUCUUCUGUCCUGUAUCCAGUGUCUGCAAAAGGGGACACCCUUGCUGGGCCUUUACCCCAAGCCCCAGGCCCCAGCAUCAUCCCUGAAUGAAGGGUCACUCAGAGACCGCAGGAGCAGGCUUCUUCUCCACAUCGUCCACAGGACAGCUGGCUGCUGCCUGAUGAUUCACUAGGAGGCCUGGCCCCUUGACAGAGCAAAUUCCAGUGAGGACUGCAAAUGGCUUCCAGUGUCUGUUUGCCCAAGGCCUCCUGGGAACUGAGGGCCUGGCAUGAGCACAGCGGGGAACUGCAAACCAGGUUCUUACUAUGUAGUUCAGGCUGGCCUGGAAUUCAUGGAGAUCCUCCUGCCUCAGCCUCCUGAGUGCUAGGAUUACAGGCAUUUUAUCCUGUCUGCUGUCUCUCACUCAUCACUUCCCUGAGGAAAGUUCAAAUUCAAAACAAAACAGCCGUUUUUGCAAAGCCAGCCGUUUUGCUCCACGGACCUGGGAAAGAUUUGAUGUAAAACCAGUUCUCAGGAAGCUGCACAUGAUUCACAGAUCUUAAUGCUGCCGGAGGCACAGAGUGCAAAGGAGAGAGCGGGGAAGAGAGGAAUGUAGCUGUCUCACCUUGGAAAGGGGGUAAACUGAGGCAAGGCUCAGCCGGAAAGUGAGUGAUAGGAAUCAACAGGAGGCACCACCGCUGCCAUUUCAUCUGGUUCAGUGUUCAUCCAGUGACUCUCCUCUCCGAGCCUUCUGCAGACACAGACAGGCAUUCAGAAACCAGCCUGCUGGAGACAUUACAGACUCGGGCAGCAGAGUGGGGUGAUGGGACACAGGAAGGUCGACAUUCAGAGAUGGG